Molecule: long non-coding RNA, 1155 nt
Filed under: Setaria italica (foxtail millet)
Lineage: Eukaryota; Viridiplantae; Streptophyta; Magnoliopsida; Poales; Poaceae
Description: long non-coding RNA (SITA_LNC000518)
Source: RNAcentral
GCAUAUGCUCUAGGCUCUGCCGCGGUGCCGCCUACGCCUCCCUCGUCUCCUCCUCUUCCUUCCUCUCGUCUAUCUCCCUGCGAUCAGUGAUCACUCGUCUCCAUAACUGAGGAUACAAGUACCAGGUAAUUACAAGCAUCUCUCUCUCUCUCUCUCUCUCUCUCUCUCUCUCUCUCUCUCUCUCUCUCUCUCUCUCUCUCUCUCUCUCUCUAAGCAUGUUCGAUCCAUGGACCAUGUCCGGUGCAAUUCUUGCCUUCUUGCGCUGAUUUGGAUUCGUUCAAGCUAGUGCCAUCCCAUGAUCAAGAAGAAGCAGUUGCUCCUUUUUUUUUUCCAAACUACGAAAACGGAGCGGUUGCUCGACACGACAUACUUGCAUGGUAGUUACCCCACGAAUUAUGUUUUCCAGAGUGAUCAAACUCUUGUGGUGAUCUUUGGGCUAAUUGAACCGUUGAUAGUCUUUCAGUUUUUGUUUUUUUAGCUUUCUUUUAGAUAUAAUAAACGAAGAAAAUAUUAUAGUUUGGUCAGGUUUUCCACAAAGGAAAACAUAUCAACAAAUAUCGUUGCCUGAGAAUAAUCGUCCUGUACAUUUUCUGACUAGAGACAAAAGUCAGGAUUGCCGCCCACGCGUUUGAUGGAAGAGACUGCAAGAACCGGCGACGAUCGCAGGACUUGACUGGGGGCGCCUGGUCCUGCACGGCGUACACUUGGCCUUUCCAGGUGUUGCAUUCUUGUAUCUUUCAUAGCUACAGACUAGUACCACUUCUGAACAAUGGGCACAUGCCACUGGUUUUGAAUUUGAUAUGGUCAACCGUAGAGACGGCCGGCAACUUCCUUUUGCUUUCAGUCCGUAACCAUACCCAGUCCAUGUGCUCAGAUUUCAACUGAAUAAUGAUAGAGAGAGAGCGAACUUAGCUGAAUUCGUAUUUUCUGUUCUUGGUGUGCUCUGAAAAGUUGACUUAUAAUAGUACACUUGAAUUCCGUAACAGGAAAAUUGAUCAAACUGGAGGAAUAACAUCUAGUGCACUGGCACGUGCUAUCCGGCCUGUACCUUGACCAGAAGGGGAGGAUAAAGAGUAGAGGGCUCCUAAUAUCCCAUUGAAGCCAAGGUAUGGUGUGACUGUGAUCGCCACAGCAGCAGAGAAAAGGCAACCAAAG